This is a non-coding RNA of Meleagris gallopavo (turkey), 212 nucleotides long. NCBI's taxonomy places the organism in Eukaryota, Metazoa, Chordata, Aves, Galliformes, Phasianidae. The record is from RefSeq and is a predicted model, not a curated record.
UCCACUUAGAUCUUGCUUAUAGGUUGCUUAUCAUGGGACACAGUUGUCAAAGCUUGUUGUUGAAGAUGCUCCUAUUUCUAUUGACCUGGAAAUACCAUCACAACAGAGAGAGUUUGCAGAAACUGUGAAAACAUUUCCAUCCACUGAAGGAGGAGCAGCUGAAAGUCUCCCCACUGCCAGAGAAUUAAAGAGUAAGAUUUCUGCUUUUAACU